GUGGCGGCGUAGGUGUUGGGGGUGGUGGUGGAGCAGGCGUGGGCGUCGGAGGUGGAGCAGGAGGAGGUGCGGGUGUCGGAGGGGGUGCUGGAGGAGGAGCCGGGGGCGGAGUAGGAGCUGGAGGUGGCGGCAGUGCUGGUGUAGGUGUAGGAGCGGGAGGUGGUGUUGGCGGAGGUGUCGGAGGAGGGGCAGGCGGUGGUGCCAGAGCUGGAGGAGGAAGUGGCGGCGGAGCUGGUGUUGGUGGAGGUGUCGGCGGGAGAAUCGGAAGCAAGAAACAUGUCGGGCUUUGAACAGAUGGGGAAGAAGGCUUCGGAAUCCGCCUUUUAUAUAUCUCCUACGGAGCUUAUUGCAAACGCUGUAGGAUUAAAACUGCUUAGCAUUUCAUCUUCGUAGUUGCUCACCGUGUUGUAUCGAUGUAUGUAUCGCAAUAAAGAGAAUGUCGAUUCUCUCCUAGCAAGCAAGCGAUCGUGCACA
Molecule: long non-coding RNA, 474 nt
Organism: Eucalyptus grandis
Lineage: Eukaryota; Viridiplantae; Streptophyta; Magnoliopsida; Myrtales; Myrtaceae
Exons: 2
Source: RefSeq, a predicted model, not a curated record